AAAAGGGGGAAAAAUUUGGACCAUUUCUCGAUUUGUACGUGUCAUCCUUGCGCAGGGGCCAUGCUAAUCUUCUCUGUAUCGUUCCAAUUUUAUCGGAUGUCCCCGACUGUAACAGCCCAGACCACCCACUAGCACGA
Molecule: non-coding RNA, 137 nt
Organism: Arachis ipaensis
Lineage: Eukaryota; Viridiplantae; Streptophyta; Magnoliopsida; Fabales; Fabaceae
Source: RefSeq, a predicted model, not a curated record